GGGCCAGUAGCUCAGUGGUAGAGCGCUACUCUUAUAAAGUAGAUGUCCUUGGUCCGAAUCCAAGCUGGCCCACAA
This 75-nucleotide transfer RNA is filed under the name Candidatus Levybacteria bacterium RIFCSPHIGHO2_01_FULL_36_15. Its description in RNAcentral is "tRNA-Ile". It matches the Rfam family "tRNA". From Rfam's summary of the family: Transfer RNA (tRNA) molecules are approximately 80 nucleotides in length. The record is from RNAcentral. Lineage: Bacteria; Candidatus Levyibacteriota. RNAcentral also lists the same sequence under 1 other name.